AAAUUGAAGAGUUUGAUCAUGGCUCAGAUUGAACGCUGGCGGCAGGCCUAACACAUGCAAGUCGAACGGUAACAGGAAACAGCUUGCUGCUUUCGCUGACGAGUGGCGGACGGGUGAGUAAUGUCUGGGAAACUGCCUGAUGGAGGGGGAUAACUACUGGAAACGGUAGCUAAUACCGCAUAACGUCGCAAGACCAAAGAGGGGGACCUUCGGGCCUCUUGCCAUCGGAUGUGCCCAGAUGGGAUUAGCUAGUAGGUGGGGUAAAGGCUCACCUAGGCGACGAUCCCUAGCUGGUCUGAGAGGAUGACCAGCCACACUGGAACUGAGACACGGUCCAGACUCCUACGGGAGGCAGCAGUGGGGAAUAUUGCACAAUGGGCGCAAGCCUGAUGCAGCCAUGCCGCGUGUAUGAAGAAGGCCUUCGGGUUGUAAAGUACUUUCAGCGGGGAGGAAGGGAGUAAAGUUAAUACCUUUGCUCAUUGACGUUACCCGCAGAAGAAGCACCGGCUAACUCCGUGCCAGCAGCCGCGGUAAUACGGAGGGUGCAAGCGUUAAUCGGAAUUACUGGGCGUAAAGCGCACGCAGGCGGUUUGUUAAGUCAGAUGUGAAAUCCCCGGGCUCAACCUGGGAACUGCAUCUGAUACUGGCAAGCUUGAGUCUCGUAGAGGGGGGUAGAAUUCCAGGUGUAGCGGUGAAAUGCGUAGAGAUCUGGAGGAAUACCGGUGGCGAAGGCGGCCCCCUGGACGAAGACUGACGCUCAGGUGCGAAAGCGUGGGGAGCAAACAGGAUUAGAUACCCUGGUAGUCCACGCCGUAAACGAUGUCGACUUGGAGGUUGUGCCCUUGAGGCGUGGCUUCCGGAGCUAACGCGUUAAGUCGACCGCCUGGGGAGUACGGCCGCAAGGUUAAAACUCAAAUGAAUUGACGGGGGCCCGCACAAGCGGUGGAGCAUGUGGUUUAAUUCGAUGCAACGCGAAGAACCUUACCUGGUCUUGACAUCCACGGAAGUUUUCAGAGAUGAGAAUGUGCCUUCGGGAACCGUGAGACAGGUGCUGCAUGGCUGUCGUCAGCUCGUGUUGUGAAAUGUUGGGUUAAGUCCCGCAACGAGCGCAACCCUUAUCCUUUGUUGCCAGCGGUCCGGCCGGGAACUCAAAGGAGACUGCCAGUGAUAAACUGGAGGAAGGUGGGGAUGACGUCAAGUCAUCAUGGCCCUUACGACCAGGGCUACACACGUGCUACAAUGGCGCAUACAAAGAGAAGCGACCUCGCGAGAGCAAGCGGACCUCAUAAAGUGCGUCGUAGUCCGGAUUGGAGUCUGCAACUCGACUCCAUGAAGUCGGAAUCGCUAGUAAUCGUGGAUCAGAAUGCCACGGUGAAUACGUUCCCGGGCCUUGUACACACCGCCCGUCACACCAUGGGAGUGGGUUGCAAAAGAAGUAGGUAGCUUAACCUUCGGGAGGGCGCUUACCACUUUGUGAUUCAUGACUGGGGUGAAGUCGUAACAAGGUAACCGUAGGGGAACCUGCGGUUGGAUCACCUCCUUA
This 1543-nucleotide ribosomal RNA is filed under the name Escherichia coli. Its description in RNAcentral is "bacterial SSU rRNA". It matches the Rfam family "Bacterial small subunit ribosomal RNA". Lineage: Bacteria; Pseudomonadati; Pseudomonadota; Gammaproteobacteria; Enterobacterales; Enterobacteriaceae. The record is from RNAcentral.